This 2925-nucleotide ribosomal RNA is filed under the name Escherichia coli. RNAcentral describes it as "23S ribosomal RNA". It matches the Rfam family "Bacterial large subunit ribosomal RNA". Lineage: Bacteria; Pseudomonadati; Pseudomonadota; Gammaproteobacteria; Enterobacterales; Enterobacteriaceae. The record is from RNAcentral.
GGGUUGUGAGGUUAAGCGACUAAGCGUACACGGUGGAUGCCCUGGCAGUCAGAGGCGAUGAAGGACGUGCUAAUCUGCGAUAAGCGUCGGUAAGGUGAUAUGAACCGUUAUAACCGGCGAUUUCCGAAUGGGGAAACCCAGUGUGAUUCGUCACACUAUCAUUAACUGAAUCCAUAGGUUAAUGAGGCGAACCGGGGGAACUGAAACAUCUAAGUACCCCGAGGAAAAGAAAUCAACCGAGAUUCCCCCAGUAGCGGCGAGCGAACGGGGAGCAGCCCAGAGCCUGAAUCAGUGUGUGUGUUAGUGGAAGCGUCUGGAAAGGCGUGCGAUACAGGGUGACAGCCCCGUACACAAAAAUGCACAUAUUGUGAGCUCGAUGAGUAGGGCGGGACACGUGGUAUCCUGUCUGAAUAUGGGGGGACCAUCCUCCAAGGCUAAAUACUCCUGACUGACCGAUAGUGAACCAGUACCGUGAGGGAAAGGCGAAAAGAACCCCGGCGAGGGGAGUGAAAAAGAACCUGAAACCGUGUACGUACAAGCAGUGGGAGCACGCUUAGGCGUGUGACUGCGUACCUUUUGUAUAAUGGGUCAGCGACUUAUAUUCUGUAGCAAGGUUAACCGAAUAGGGGAGCCGAAGGGAAACCGAGUCUUAACUGGGCGUUAAGUUGCAGGGUAUAGACCCGAAACCCGGUGAUCUAGCCAUGGGCAGGUUGAAGGUUGGGUAACACUAACUGGAGGACCGAACCGACUAAUGUUGAAAAAUUAGCGGAUGACUUGUGGCUGGGGGUGAAAGGCCAAUCAAACCGGGAGAUAGCUGGUUCUCCCCGAAAGCUAUUUAGGUAGCGCCUCGUGAAUUCAUCUCCGGGGGUAGAGCACUGUUUCGGCAAGGGGGUCAUCCCGACUUACCAACCCGAUGCAAACUGCGAAUACCGGAGAAUGUUAUCACGGGAGACACACGGCGGGUGCUAACGUCCGUCGUGAAGAGGGAAACAACCCAGACCGCCAGCUAAGGUCCCAAAGUCAUGGUUAAGUGGGAAACGAUGUGGGAAGGCCCAGACAGCCAGGAUGUUGGCUUAGAAGCAGCCAUCAUUUAAAGAAAGCGUAAUAGCUCACUGGUCGAGUCGGCCUGCGCGGAAGAUGUAACGGGGCUAAACCAUGCACCGAAGCUGCGGCAGCGACGCUGAUGCGUUGUUGGGUAGGGGAGCGUUCUGUAAGCCUGCGAAGGUGUGCUGUGAGGCAUGCUGGAGGUAUCAGAAGUGCGAAUGCUGACAUAAGUAACGAUAAAGCGGGUGAAAAGCCCGCUCGCCGGAAGACCAAGGGUUCCUGUCCAACGUUAAUCGGGGCAGGGUGAGUCGACCCCUAAGGCAAGGCCGAAAGGCGUAGUCGAUGGGAAACAGGUUAAUAUUCCUGUACUUGGUGUUACUGCGAAGGGGGGACGGAGAAGGCUAUGUUGGCCGGGCGACGGUUGUCCCGGUUUAAGCGUGUAGGCUGGUUUUCCAGGCAAAUCCGGAAAAUCAAGGCUGAGGCGUGAUGACGAGGCACUACGGUGCUGAAGCAACAAAUGCCCUGCUUCCAGGAAAAGCCUCUAAGCAUCAGGUAACAUCAAAUCGUACCCCAAACCGACACAGGUGGUCAGGUAGAGAAUACCAAGGCGCUUGAGAGAACUCGGGUGAAGGAACUAGGCAAAAUGGUGCCGUAACUUCGGGAGAAGGCACGCUGAUAUGUAGGUGAAGUCCCUCGCGGAUGGAGCUGAAAUCAGUCGAAGAUACCAGCUGGCUGCAACUGUUUAUUAAAAACACAGCACUGUGCAAACACGAAAGUGGACGUAUACGGUGUGACGCCUGCCCGGUGCCGGAAGGUUAAUUGAUGGGGUCAGCGCAAGCGAAGCUCUUGAUCGAAGCCCCGGUAAACGGCGGCCGUAACUAUAACGGUCCUAAGGUAGCGAAAUUCCUUGUCGGGUAAGUUCCGACCUGCACGAAUGGCGUAAUGAUGGCCAGGCUGUCUCCACCCGAGACUCAGUGAAAUUGAACUCGCUGUGAAGAUGCAGUGUACCCGCGGCAAGACGGAAAGACCCCGUGAACCUUUACUAUAGCUUGACACUGAACAUUGAGCCUUGAUGUGUAGGAUAGGUGGGAGGCUUUGAAGUGUGGACGCCAGUCUGCAUGGAGCCGACCUUGAAAUACCACCCUUUAAUGUUUGAUGUUCUAACGUUGACCCGUAAUCCGGGUUGCGGACAGUGUCUGGUGGGUAGUUUGACUGGGGCGGUCUCCUCCUAAAGAGUAACGGAGGAGCACGAAGGUUGGCUAAUCCUGGUCGGACAUCAGGAGGUUAGUGCAAUGGCAUAAGCCAGCUUGACUGCGAGCGUGACGGCGCGAGCAGGUGCGAAAGCAGGUCAUAGUGAUCCGGUGGUUCUGAAUGGAAGGGCCAUCGCUCAACGGAUAAAAGGUACUCCGGGGAUAACAGGCUGAUACCGCCCAAGAGUUCAUAUCGACGGCGGUGUUUGGCACCUCGAUGUCGGCUCAUCACAUCCUGGGGCUGAAGUAGGUCCCAAGGGUAUGGCUGUUCGCCAUUUAAAGUGGUACGCGAGCUGGGUUUAGAACGUCGUGAGACAGUUCGGUCCCUAUCUGCCGUGGGCGCUGGAGAAUUGAGGGGGGCUGCUCCUAGUACGAGAGGACCGGAGUGGACGCAUCACUGGUGUUCGGGUUGUCAUGCCAAUGGCACUGCCCGGUAGCUAAAUGCGGAAGAGAUAAGUGCUGAAAGCAUCUAAGCACGAAACUUGCCCCGAGAUGAGUUCUCCCUGACUCCUUGAGAGUCCUGAAGGAACGUUGAAGACGACGACGUUGAUAGGCCGGGUGUGUAAGCGCAGCGAUGCGUUGAGCUAACCGGUACUAAUGAACCGUGAGGCUUAACCUUACAACGCCGAAG